This 520-nucleotide ribosomal RNA is filed under the name uncultured bacterium. RNAcentral describes it as "bacterial SSU rRNA". It matches the Rfam family "Bacterial small subunit ribosomal RNA", at positions 8 to 518 of the family's 1533-position model. The record is from RNAcentral.
AGAGUUUGAUUAUGGCUCAGGAUGAACGCUAGCUACAGGCUUAACACAUGCAAGUCGAGGGGCAUCGAGAGUGUAGCAAUACACUUGUCGGCGACCGGCGCACGGGUGAGUAACGCGUAUCCAACCUUCCCCCUGGUAGGGGAUAGCCCGGCGAAAGUCGGAUUAAUACCCUAUGUUCUCCUUUGAUGGCAUCUGACGAGGAGCAAAGAUUUAUCGCCAGGGGAUGGGGAUGCGUCCGAUUAGGCAGACGGCGGGGUGACGGCCCACCGUGCCCGCGAUCGGUAGGGGUUCUGAGAGGAAGGUCCCCCACAUUGGAACUGAGACACGGUCCAAACUCCUACGGGAGGCAGCAGUGAGGAAUAUUGGUCAAUGGGCGUAAGCCUGAACCAGCCAAGUAAGCGUGAGGGAUGACGGCCCUACGGGUUGUAAACCCCUUUUGCCGGGGGAUAAAGUGCCGCACGUGUGCGGCUUUGCAUGUACCCGGAGAAUGAGGACCGGCUAAUUCCGUGCCAGCCGCCGC